AUUUGGGAAUUGUAGUUCACUCACUGUGUGUCGCCUAGAAGUGACAUCAUCGGGCAGUGCUGUGGUAUUGACAUCUCGCCAGACCAAGCACAAGUUUUGCUGUGAAGCUAACUUGUACGUCCUAGCUGUGUUGCUACGUGUUGCGAACAGAAACGGCUACGACGGCUACUGACCAGCUAGUGCCUUCAGGCACAUGUGAAAGCAGACAAGGAGUUUGUCUCACUGACACAGCAGAUGAUGGAACUACCGCAACAACAGGACAAUUUCACAGCACUACUUCAACAGCAGAAAAACCUGAUAAGCUUUGUGACAAUAAUCAUUGGACUCAACAACAAAAAAACAGACUGGGUGCACUUUUACUGGAGAUACAGAAGGUUCCAUGCAAAAGGAGAGCAAAGAGAAAGAGAAUCAGAUAUGAUGGAAGCUCUGCCGUCCCUCCACCUGAUCCACCCAUCCGCCAGAUCUACUGAUAGAGGCUGAUGGAGAGCGUACACGCUUCAGACAGGAUAUUAGGUUGGACAUUUCCUUCUUCCACACGCCACAGGCAGGCUCUUCUACCAUUCAAAUUCUCUGCAGGAGAAAGAAGAAAAGAUAAAGAUGUGAGUGAAGCUGACAGGCUCCUGGACUCACUGUCACCGUUGCACUUUGGAUUUUGAGACAGUUUCUGAUUUGAUCCUGAGAGGUUGAUUUGUGUUAUAACCAGACAAGGAAUGAUGUUCAUCUCCAUGUCUG
Long non-coding RNA from Phyllopteryx taeniolatus (common seadragon), 732 nucleotides. RefSeq lists it as uncharacterized. The record is from RefSeq and is a predicted model, not a curated record. The transcript has 3 exons. Lineage: Eukaryota; Metazoa; Chordata; Actinopteri; Syngnathiformes; Syngnathidae.